UGCUUCUCUCUCGCUAGUCAGGGCUGAGAGCUGACCAGAUAGGCAUGACUGUUGCGGCUAAAAUAGUCUAAUCUGCUCCCCACUGAAUCCUAGUCCCCCCGUAAUGUUGCAGUGUUGAUUGGUUACUAGUUCCGCUGCCCCUCCCUCCCCCUUUGCACUCACUCACUCACGGCUGAUUUUCCAAACGUCGUAUCAGUCUUCAUUAACAAUAGUGUGGCUAACUUGUCUAUUUUAACCUGUUUUUCAAGGCAUGGUUAGUUGGUUUUGAUAAUAAGUUUGUAUAACUUAUUAUGAUUUCAGUUUGUGUCGACUUAACUCUGUGAAAAUCCAACACUUCCAACUAAUUCCAUCCCCCAAAAAUGAAGUGAAAAAGCAAAAAUAGCCACACGACUGUUAAUAUAUACUAAUACAUCCUUUGAAAAAUCCGGCAUUACUCACUCACUCACCCGCUGUGUUGAGAGUACCCGUCCUCCACCUGACGUGUGUAAUCGGUGUAAGGUGUGUGUGUGUGUGCGCCUUUUUGUACGCGCAUGCCCAAUAUGUACUCAUAACAGGAAUAGAAAAAACACUACAAGAAAAUGAAGUUCGGGUAUAAAGAUGAAGUUUGCUUAUCUGUUUGCAAUACUUCAUCCUUAUAUCUUAGCUCUAUUUUCUGAGGUUGUAUUUCCUGAGAUGCGUACUUAUUAGAGUGGUGCGUACAGAUCGGCGUACAUACCCUGAUAUUAAUUAAAUGUUGUAGCCUACCCCAGUCUUGCCACCCACCCUCCCCAGAGGUCUCAAAGGUGGCCCCCUCCCUCCAAGAACCCUAACACACAAAAUUUUAAUACUGCCGUUUAGAGACAUUGACCAUCCCUUCAGCGUCCCGGGAUUGCCGUGGGAAAGAUUAGACUAUUUUGGCUCCUGAUUUGCUUGAACUAACUACAACAUAACAGUCUUGAGUCUUGAUUAACUUAGCCUGUCAUUACCUACCAUUGUGAUCGAGAGCUAGAGCUGCCACUGUUUGAUAUUAAUAAGGGUAAUCAGGGACAUGAUUUUCCUUAUGUUUUUGUUACAGCCACUCACUGUUUGAUAAGGCUUUUGUUGUGAAUAACCAGGGGAGGUCUUGUUUUUUUAUGAUUUUAUUGCAGUAGAUGUUUUUUACACUUGUCAGAUGUUAACAGAAUAAGAGUAACCGGGAACAUUACUUUCUUUUGUUUUUAUAUCAGCCACUCACUGUUUGAUAAGGCUUUUGUUGAUGUGCAUAACCAGGGGAGGUCUUGUUUUUUUAUGAUUUUAUUGCAGCAGAAGAUCUUUAUACUUACUUUGGUGUUUAAUGUUAGCAGAGAAUAAGAGUAACCAGGGAGAUUAUUUUCUUUCGUUUGAUAAGGCUUUUGUUGAUGUGCAUAACCAGGGGAGUUAUUGUUUUUUUUAUGUUUUUAUUGCAGCAGAAGAUCUUUAUACUUACUCAGGUGUUUAAUGUUAACAGAGAAUAAGAGUAACCAGGGACACUAUUUUCUUUCGUUUGAUAAGGCUUUUGUUGAUGUGCAUAACCAGGGGAGGUCUUGGUUUUUUAUGAUUUUAUUGCAGUAGAUGUUUUUUACACUUGUCAGAUGUUUAAUGUUAACAGAAUAAGAGUAACCGGGAACAUUACUUUCUUUUGUUUUUAUAUCAGCCACUCACUGUUUGAUAAGGCUUUUGUUGAUGUGAAUAACCAGGGAAGUUGUUUUUUUAUGUUUUAUUGCUGCAGAAAUUCUUGACACGCCUUACUCUACGUUUAAUGUUAAGAGAAUAAGAUAAUAAGAUAAGAUAACCAGGAACAUUAUUUUCUUUUGAUUUUAUUGCCGCCACUCUUUGUUUGAUAAGCCUUUUGUUGAUGUGAAUAACCAGCGGAGGUCUUGUUUUUAUGUUUUAUUCCAGCAGACGUUCUUUACACUCAUCUUACUCUUACGUUUGAUGUUAAGAAAGAGUAAGAAAAGAGAAUGAGAGUAACCAGGGACAUGAUUUUCGUUAAUUUUUAUUGCAGCCACACACUGAUAAGGCUUUUGUUUUUAUGGGUAACUAGGGAUGUUUUUUUCCUGUUUUAUUGCAGAAGUUCUUUACGCAUCUUACUUUUACGAUUAAUGUCGAGAGAAUAAGA
Eriocheir sinensis (Chinese mitten crab) is the source of this 2116-nucleotide long non-coding RNA. RefSeq lists it as uncharacterized. Lineage: Eukaryota; Metazoa; Arthropoda; Malacostraca; Decapoda; Varunidae. The transcript has 2 exons. The record is from RefSeq and is a predicted model, not a curated record.